UGAUUUCCUUGAUGCCAUUAGACUCCAGGAGUCAUGUGUGAUCCAUGAGUGAUAAGAGCAAAAGUCAUUUGCCAUACUGCUGUGGCCCCAGAUUUAUCAUGGAGAAAAUGUUUACCUGCCCAGGACAUAGACUGCAACUCUGUCUGAGUCAUUUGGCAUACUGCUGUGGCCCCAGAUUUAUCAUGGAGAAAAUGUUUACCUGCCCAGGACAUGGAGCUGCAACUCUGUCUGGUAAUAAAAUUCCACAUUAUGCCCAGCAGCACAGGUUUGUGAAAUUUCAAUUGUCAAAAUUAUUGUAAAGGUUGAAACAUAAAAGGAAAAGUAUAAGGCACACAAACCUAGACAUUUACCAUGAACCAUAUUAUUAGUGGGUCAGAUCCAGUCUUGAAGACCUUUAGCAUUUUCUGACUUUGAACAACUGAGUACAGCUUAUCUUGAACUCUUUCUGGCUCAAUUUGUAAAUCCCUUUCAUUUUUAUGCAUAGAGUCAUUUGGCAUACUGCUGUGGCCCCAGAUUUAUCAUGGAGAAAAUGUUUACCUGCCCAGGAUAUAGACUGCAACUCUGUCUGUCUUUUGGCAUACUGCUGUGGCCCCAGAUUUAUCAUGGAGAAAAUGUUUACCUGCCCAGAAAGACAUAGAUCUACAACUCUGUCUGGUGAGAAAAUUCCUCAUCGUGCUCAAGAGUACAGAAGGUUGAUUUCUACCUACUCUCCUCGUUUGUGAGAAUUCCAGUGCUGUUCUACAAUAAGAUGGCAUGUUGCAUCUGGAGCAUGGAUUUAGCAGGGUCCCCAGGAUCAGUCUCAGAUUUCACGAGUCUUCACAGAGCUCAAAAAUGGUGUAAUGGUCCAGUUUGUUGCAGAGCCAGACUGUGCUUAACUCUAACGAAGAGAAGUGGGGAAUCAGGAGGAGUCUUCAGAUGGUGGUUGCCAAGUUUCAUUUGUCCUCUUCCAGUGGAGACACAUGUACAGCACUUCAUUUUUCUCUGAACUGUUGUGUGAUCACCUCUGCACAGUUUUGCUAACCAGAUCAGACUCCAGUGCUGAAGACCAUGGGCAUGUGCAAUCUUCCAGCGGUCAAGGCCUGCUGCUCUAAACACCUUUACAGCACAGUUUUAUUACUGCACUACAAGUUAGUAAAACAAUACUACUUACAUUGUAGAAAAAGAACAGAAAAAAAUGACUCCAACGGGCAAACAAAAUCCACAAAAUUCUUAAUUCAGAAGGAAAUACUAGCAGAACCCCAACACGUGCUGUUGAUGUGAAUGAGGAAUGAGUUACUCAACCUGACAGCUGCAAUUCCAUGUCCUACUGGGAAGUUCAAAAUCAACACCAAAAUGUUUUAAGACCUCAUGUCUGAGGGAACAGUACUACUUUGUGGAAAUUUCAGGUUUGUCACUGAAACGACUGGAAGACAUCACAUGUCCCCAGCAGCCAAGAAUGAAUGUGUUCUAAGGACAGUUCUGAUUUCCUUUAUCCUUGGAGAAAGAGCCAUGGUUCUGGGAUUUGAGAACCAGUACUCCACUCAUAGGAGGAGAGGCCCUACAAGCGAAAAGACCCAAACCAUAGAGGCCAGACACUCUGCUGCCUCAAAGUGAAGAGCAGAUUGUUUGCAGUGUACCGGCCUGAACCGGGUACUACACAUACAUCCUUGUGUCUCCACUUGGGACAGGGACGGUUUGAGGUGAAAAGGAGAAGAUAUUUUGAAAUGUUUUGAAACAGGCAUUACCUUGCCUAAGAUGGGAAGAGCCACCAGUGGCCUGGUUGCAACAGCUGUUUCAGGGUGGGAUUCGCCACAGGUCUGCACGGAGCUCCCCCCAACAGUCCUUUUUGCAGGCACACAGAUGGCCAUCCAAGUUAAAAGGUAGAGACGUCAAAUGUCCCCAGCAGCCAAGAAUGAAAGUGUUCUGAGAACAGCUCCGAGGUUGGGCUGUGCCCUGGCCAGCGCCCUUGUUUGGGGUAUGGAAGAAACCUGCUCCUCUCGUAAAGGUCCCUGGCCCUGUACCCAUGUUCCAUAUCAGAAAGGCCAAGUACCCCGCUUCCUCUUUUACAGAGGAGGCCUGUGAUGUUCCUGCGAGAGGCUGGCCUGGGACCUGUGCACACAUUACCUUCCCUCUCAAACUAGAGACUUCCUUGUGCUGAGGUAGGAAAUUGCAGAGUCUUUUGAGCUGGAUUAGGCUCAGUCUUUCGCUCCAGCCUCUUCUGAGAGGCACAAAGUUGGCUUCCCCUGAGCUUGCAGCCAGAGGCAGGGGCUUCAAAAGUUUUCCACAGUGCCUCUGACUAACACUGUGUGCUCUGCACACACAGAGUAGCCUGACCCUUUGCAAGGGAAAGGGCUUCAAGUUUAAGUAGCAAGUGUCCGCAUGGAAGCUGGAAAAAUAGGACAUUAGAAGCAUGCUCUUGAUGCGCAUGGGGCCCAAGGUGUCUCAGAGCCUGCAGGUACUCCCCGUGGGUUGGGAGAGGGCCCUGGUCUUCUGUGUGGUUAUCCUGUCUGAAGAAGUAUGCAGUCACUACUGUUCUGCGGACAUGGCCACAUGCUUCCUGUCUCUACAUGGGAUGUUUUAAAAUGCAGUCUGUCAAGAUUCCCUGUGUCUUGGAAAAGGGGCUGAGACUGCAUGGCUCUGGGGUUGCAGAGCCAAGGCUCAAUUCCGCUCUUAGGAGGCCAGGACCAGCAUGCCGAAAGUCCAGGCGCCCUCCUGACUCAAAGUGAGGAGCAGACUUUGCAUUGAAACGGCCUGCACCUGGUUCUGUGCAUACACACUCGUGUCUGCACUCGGAGACUGGAAGGAGUUGAGGCAAAAAGAGGAGAGGGUAUUUUCUGAUGUCUUGAAAUAUGUGUUGCUCUGCCUGAAAAGGGCAGAGACACUAGUCUCCCUGGUUGCAAGAGUGGUGCUUCAGUGGGAUUCAGCAACGUGUCUCUACUGGGCUCUCCUGAGCUAGUCUAGUUGCAGGCAUACUGAGCACCUUCAAAGCUGUAAAGAAAAGAGUGUGUCCAAAAAUCCACUCGUGGGCAGACCCCAGUCUGAGUUAGACAGCAACAUCACCUCAGAGAGGGUCGUGUGCUGUUUUCUAUGCACAGACAGACGAGGAGCACACUUGCAAAGACAGAGCAGCAGGAUCCGGAUGUGAGCCCAGGCUGGGGCUCCAGGUCCAGGUCUCAGCGUGAGGCAAAGAAGUGACGAUGACACCUCAGGAGUUUCACAGAGAACUCAGAGUGGAAUACCUGUGGACUCCACAAGAGAUCAGGUCACGGAGAUUGCCUGUGGACAUACUUCUUCCUGACAGGGGUUGAGGACCUGAGGGAUAGAAAGGAAAAGGGAUUCCUCAGGCGACAGCCCAGAGGAACCCUGUGUUCUAGUUGGACCCGAGGUCAGCAGGCCUCAUGCCUGCCCUGCCUAAGAGGUUGAAGCAGCUCUCCCCAGAUGUGCGAUUCCAAGUCCUGGGCAGGCCAACCUCUUCUCCAUGAUAAAUCUGCGGCCAUAGCAGUGCGUGGCCAGGCCUGCUUUGUGAAAAUUUCAGCUUUGUCUCUGACCCACCUGCCAGAGACGUCAAAUGUGCCAAGCGGCCAAGAGUGAAUAUGUGCUGAGGGCAGAUCCAAGGGAGGGCAGCGCCCUGGCCAGCGCCCUUGUUCGGGGUAUGAAAGAGACCUGCUCCUCUCGUAGCAGCACCUGGCCCUGUCCCCAAGUUCCAAAUCAGAAAGACCACGUACCCUGCUUCCUCUUCUACACAGGAGGCCUGCGAUGUCCCUUCGAGGGCCUGGCCCAGGGUCCUGUGCAUACGUACCUUCCCUCUCAGCCCAGAGAUUCCUCAUGCCAAGGUGGGACAUUGCAGAGUCUUUUGAGCUGGACUAGGCUCAGUCUUUCAGGUACAAAUUUGGCUUUUCCUGAGCUACAGCCCAAUGGCAGGGGCUUCAAAGGCAUUCCACAGUGCCGCUGAUCAACACUGGGCGCUCUGCAGACACAGAGUGGCCGAACCCUUUGCAAGGGGAAGCACUUCACGUUUAAGUAUUGGGUAUCUCUGCAUGGAGCCUAGGAAAAGCAGGACCUUAGAAGUGUGCUGUUGAUAUGCAUCGGACCCAGGUGUCACAGCAGAUUCAGGUACUCCCCAGGGGUUUGGAGAGGGGCCUUGUCUUGUGCAUUGUUCUCCUGUCAACAGCAGUAUGCCACCACGAUUGCUCCACAGACAUGGCAAUGUACAUCCUAUCUCUCUAGGGGACACUGUAAAAUGCAGAGUCUACCCUGAUUCCUCCUGUCUUUUGAGAAGGGGCUGAGACACAUGGCACGGAGGUUGCAGAGCCAAGGCUCCACUCCGCUCUUAGGAGGCCAGGGCCAGCAUGCUGAAAUCAAGGCCCCAUCCUCCUCAAAGUGAGGUCCUGACUGUUUACAAGGGACCGGCCUGCACCUGGUUGAGCACAUACAUCCUGUGUCUCCACUCGGGGACUAGAAGGAGUAACAGGCAAAAAACAGGGGAGGAUAUUUUGAGUUGAUUGAAACAGGCCUUACCUGGCCUCAUAGGGCAGAGCAACUCUUCUCUCUGAAUGCAACAGCAGUAUUCACAGCCCUCACAAUUGUCUCCUCUGAGGUCCUCCAAGCUCGUCUCAUUGCAGGCAGUCUGAUGCCUUCCAAGUUGUGACGAAGAGAGUGUCUCCAGAAAAUGAACUGGUGGGCAGACCCAGUCUGAGUUAGAUAGCCAUACUGACCUGGAGAGGAUCUUAAGCUAAUAUUUCCUAUGAAUAGCCCAGGCACACACAUACAAAGAUGGAGCUACAGGAUCCAGAAGUGUGCCCAGGCGGGGGCUCCAGGUCCAGGUCGCAGCAUGAGGCAAAGAAGUGAUGCUGACAGCUCAGGAGUUUCAUAGAGAACUAAGAGUGGAAGACCUGUGGACUCCACAAGAAAUCAGGUCACACAGAUUGCCUGUGGACAUACUUCUCCCUGUCAGGGGUUGAGGACCUGAGGAACAGAAAAGAAAAGGAUUCCUCAGGCGACUGCUAAGAUAAGCACCUCUGUUCUGGUUAGACCCGAGGUCAGGAGGCCUCCCGCCUGCCCUGCCUAAGUGUUUGAGGCAGGAGUCACUCUCCUUGUACAUGCACUUCAAGUCCUGGGCAGGCCAACCACUUCUCCAUGAUGAAUCUGCAGCCACAGCAGUCUGCGGCCACGCCUGCUUGGUGGAAAAAUGGGCGUUCUUACUGACCCACUUGCCAGACAUGUCAAAUGUCCCGUGUGGCCAUGAAUGAAUGCGUGCUGAGGACUGCUCCUCUCAUAGCAGCUCCUGUCCCUGUCCCCAGGUUCCAGAUGAAAAAGGCCACGUACCCCUCUUGUACAGAGGAGGCCAGCAUUGUCCCUUCGAGAGCCUGGCUCAGGAGCCGGUGCAUCCCUUACCUUCCCUCUCAACCCAGAGAUUCCUCAUGCCGAGGUGGGACAUUGCAGAGUCUUUUGAGCUGGACUAGGCUCAGUCUUUCAGACACAAAUUUGGCUUUUCCUGAGCUGCAGCCCAACAGCAGGGACUUCAAAGUUGUUCUGCAGUGCUGCUGCUCAACACUGGGCGCUCUGCGGACACAGAGUGGACUGAACCCUUUGCAAGGGGAUGUGCUUCAAGCUUAAGUAUCGGGUAUCCCUGCACGGAGCCAAGGGGAAGCAGGGCAUUAGAAGUGUGCUGUUGACGUGCAUGGGACCCAGGUGUCACAGCGGCUUCUGGUACUCCCCAGGGGUUCGGAGAGACCCUGCUCUUGUGCGUGGUUCUCCUGUCCACAGCAGUAUGCAGCCACAACUGCUCCACAGACUUGGCCAUGUACUUCCUAUCACUCGAGGGGACACUUAAAAUGCAGAGUCUGCCUUGAUUCCUCGUGUCUUUGGGGAAGGGGCCGACACUCAAGGCUCGGUGUUUGCAGAUCCAAGGCUCAACUCCGUUCUUAGGAGGCCAGGGCCAGCAUUCCACAAGGCCAGGUGCCACCUGCCUCAAAGUGAGGUCCUGACUGUUUGCCAGAGACCGGCCUGCACCUGCUUGGGCACGUACAUCCUGUGUCUCCACUCGGGGAUUAGAAUGAGUAACGGGCAAAAAGUAGGGGAGGAUAUUCUGAGUUGGUUGAAACAGGCCUUUCCUGGCCACAUAGGGGCAGAGCGACUCCUCUCUGAUUGCAACCGCAGUGUUCCGAGGGGCUUCGCAAAUGGCUCCUCCGAGGUCCUCGAAGAUUUCCUCUUGGCAGGCACUCCAAUGCCUUCCAAGUUGUGAAGAAGAGAGUGUCUCCAGAAAAUGAACUGGUGGGCAGACCCAGUCUGAGUUAGACAGCCGUAUUCACCUUGGAGAGGGACUUGAGCUAAUGUUUCCUGUGCAUAGACCAGGCGCACACGUACAAAGACGGAGCAGCAGGAUCCGGAUGUGAGCCCAGGCUGGGGCUCCAGGUCCAGGUCUCAGCAUGAGGCAAAGAAGUGACACUGACAGCUCAGGAGUUUCACAGAGAACUCAGAGUGGAAGACCUGUGGACUCCACAAGAGAUCAGGUCACGGAGGUUGCCUGUGGACAUACUUCUUCCUGUCAGGGGUUGGCGACCUGAUGACAGAAAGGAGAAGGAUUCCUGAAGCGACAGCCCAGAGGAGCACCUGUGUUCUGGUUAGACCCGAGGUUUGCAGGCCUCCCGCCUGCCCUGCCUAUGAGGUUGAGGCAGGAGCCGUACUCCCCAUACGUGCACUUGCGAGCCCUGGGCAGGCCAACCUUUUCUCCAUGAUGAAAGUACAGCAACAGCAGUGCGUGGCCAUGCCUGCGUGGUAGGAAAAUUGGCUUCUCAUUGACCAACUUCCAGAUAUGUCAAAUGUCCCAUGCGGCCAUGAAUGAAUGCAUGCUGAGGACAGCUCAGAUGCUGUGGUGGGCCCUUGCCAAUGCCAUUCUUCCGGUUGUGGAAGAAACCUGCUCCUCUCAUAGCAGCUCCUGGCCCUGUCCCCAAGUUCCAGAUCAAAAAGGCCACAUGACCCUCUUCGUGUUCUACAGAGGAGGCCUGCGAUGCCCCUUCUAGAGCCUGGCCCAGGGGGCGGUGCAUCCCUUACCUUCCCUCUCAGCCCAGAGAUUCCUCGUGCCGAGAUGGGACAUUGCAGAGUCUUUUGAGCUGGACUCGGCUCAGUCUUUCAGGCACAAAUUUGGCUUUUCCUGAGCUGCAGCCCGAUGGCAGGGGCUUCAAAGUUGUCCUGCAGUGCCGCUGCUCAACACUGGGAACUCUGCACACACAGUAUGGCCGAACACUUUGCAAGGGGACGCGCUUCAAGUAUCGGGUAUCUCUUCACGGAGCCUAAAAGCAGGACCUUAGAAGCGUGCUGUCGACAUACAUGGGACCCAGGUGUCACAGUGGCUUCAGGUACUCCCCAGGGGUUCAGAGAGACCCUGCUCUUGUGCGUGGUUCUCCUGUCCACAGCAGUAUGCAGCCACUACUGCUCCACAGACCUGGCCAUGUACUUCCUAUCACUCGAGGGGACACUUAAAAUGCAGAGUCUGCCCUGAUUCCUCGUGUCUUUGGGGAAGUGACUGAGAAACAAGACUCAGGGGUUGCAGAGCCAAGGCUCAUGUCUGCUGUUAGGAGGCCAGGGCCAGCAUGCCGAAAAUCCAGGCGCCACCUACCUCAAAGUGAGGUCCUAACUGUUUGCAAGGGACCGGCCUGCAUCUCGUUAGGCAAAUACAUCCUGUCUCCACUUGGGGACUAGAAGGAGUAAUGGGCAAAAAGUAGGGAAGGUUAUUUUGAGUUGAUUGAAACAGGCCUUACCUGGCUUCAUAGGGGCAGAGCGACUCUUCUCUCUGCAUGCAAAAGCAGCAUUCCAAGGGGCUUCACAAAUGUCUUCUCCGAGGUCCUCGAAACUUGCCUCAUUGCAGGCAUUCUGAUGCCUUCUAAAGGCAUCAGACGAAGAGAGUAUCUCCAGAAAAUGAACUGGUGGGCAGACCCAGUCUGAGUUAGACAGCCAUGUUCAUCUUGGAGAGGAUCGUGUCUAAUAUUCCCUAUGCACAGACCAGGCACACACGUACAGAGACAAAACAGCAGGAUGCGGAUUGAGCCCAGGCUGGGGCUCCAGGUCCAGGUCUCAGCGUGAGGAAAAGGAGUGACAGUGACAGCUCAGGAGUUUCACAGAGCACUCAGAGUGGAAGACCUGUGGACUCCACAAUAGAUCAGAUCACGGAGGUUGCCUGUGGACAUACUUCUCCCCGGCAGGGCUUGAGGACCUGAUGACAGAAAGGAGAAUGAUUCCUGAAGCAACAACCCACAGGAACCCUGUGUUCUGGUUAGACCCGACGUCAGCAGGCCUCACGCCUGCCCUGCCUAUGAGGUUGAGACAGGAGCCGCUCUCCCUGUACAUACAUUUCCGGGUUCCGGGCAGGCAACCUCUUCUCCAUGAUGAAUCUGCGGCCACAGCAAUGCGCAGCCGCGACUGCCUGGUGGAAAUAUUGCCUUUGACUCUGACCCACCAGCCAGAGACUUGAGAUGUCCCUCGGGGCCAUGAAUGAAUGUGUGCUGAGGGCAGCUCCGAUGGAGGGAUGCGCCUUGGUCAAAGCCCUUGUUCAGGGUAUGGAAGAGACCUGCUCCUCUCAUAGCAGCUGCUGGGCCUGUCCCCAAAUUCCAGAUCAAAAGGGCCACGUGACCCUCUUCCUCUUGUACAGAGGAGGCCUGCGAUGUCGCUUCGAGCCUGUGGUCCAGGGGCCGGUGCAUCCCUUACCUUCCCUCGCAGCCCAGAGAUUCCUCAUGCCGAGGUGGGACAUUGCAGAGUCUUUUGAGCUGGACUAGGCUCAGUCUUUCAGGCACAAAUUUGGCUUUUGCUGAGCUGCAGCCCAAAGGCAGGGACUUCAAAGUUGUUCUGCAGUGCCGCUGCUCAACACUAGGCACUCUGCAGACACAGAGUGGACUGAACCCUUUGCAAGGGGAAGCGCUUCAAGCUUAAGUAUCAGGUAUCUCUGCACGGAGCCUAGGUAAAGCAGGGCAUUAGAAGUGUGCCGUUGACGUGCAUGGGACCCAAGUAUCACAGCGGCUUCAGGUACUGCCCAGGGGUUCGGAGAGGCCCUGCUCUUGUGCGUGGUUCUCCUGUCCACAGCAGUAUGCAGCCACAACUGCUCCACAGGCCUGGCCAUGCACUUCCUAGCUCUUGAGGGGACACUUAAAAUGCAGAGUCUGCCCUGAUUCCUCGUGUCUUUGGGGAAGGGGCCGACACUCAAGGCUCAGGGGUGGCAGAGCCAAGGCUCAACUCCGUUCUUAGGAGGCCAGGGCCAGCAUUCCACAAGUCCAGGCGCCACCUGCCUCAAAGUGAAGUCCUGACUGUUUGCCUGGGACCGUCCUGCACCUGCUUGGGCACGUACAUCCUGUGUCUCCACUCGAGGAUUAGAAUGAGUAACGGGCAAAAAGUAGGGGAGGAUAUUCUGAGUUGGUUGAAACAGGCCUUUCCUGGCCACAUAGGGGCAGAGCGACUCCUCUCUGAUUGCAACCGCAGUGUUCCGAGGGGCUUCGCAAAUGGCUCCUCCGAGGUCCUUGAAGCUUUCAUCGUUGCAGGCACUCCGAUGCCUUCCAAGUUGUGAAGAAGAGAGUGUCUCCAGAAAAUGAACUGGUGGGCAGACCCAGUCUGAGUUAGACAGCCAUAUUCACCUUGGAGAGGAGCGUGUCUAAUGCUUCCUGUGCACAAACCAGGCGCACACAUACCGAGACGGAGCAGCAGGAUGCGGAUGUGAGCCAGGCUGGGGCUCCAGGUCCAGGUCUCAGCUUGAGGAAAAGGAGUGACACUGACAGCUCAGGAGUUUCACAGAGAACUCGGAGUGGAAGACCUGUGGACUCCGCAAUAGAUCAGAUCACGGAGGUUGCCUGUGGACAUACUUCUCCCCGGCAGGGCUUGAAGAACUGAUGACAGAAAGGAGAAGGAUUCCUGAAGCGACAGCCCAGAGGAACCCUGUGUUCUGGUUAGACCCGAGGUCAGCAGGCCUCACGCCUGCCCUGCCUAUGAGGUUGAGACAGGAGCCGCUCUCCCUGUUCAUACACUUCCGAGUUCCGGGCAGGCAACCUCUUCUCCAUGAUGAAUCUGUGGCCACAGCAAUGCGCAGCCGCGACUGCCUGGUGGAAAUAUUGCCUUUGACUCUGACCCACCAGCCAGAGACUUGAG
Talpa occidentalis (Iberian mole) is the source of this 10107-nucleotide long non-coding RNA. RefSeq lists it as uncharacterized. Lineage: Eukaryota; Metazoa; Chordata; Mammalia; Eulipotyphla; Talpidae. The transcript is spliced from 13 exons. The record is from RefSeq and is a predicted model, not a curated record.